Molecule: long non-coding RNA, 1798 nt
Filed under: Cyanistes caeruleus (blue tit)
Lineage: Eukaryota; Metazoa; Chordata; Aves; Passeriformes; Paridae
Description: lncRNA (ENSCCEG00000006937.1)
Source: RNAcentral
CUUGUUUUGGUUUUUCUCUUCCUUUGAUGGAGUGUGUCAGUUGUUUAAAGCUUACAAGCUGCUGAGAUAAAAAGCAAGUUAAGUAUGUGAUCCAGGUGUUGCCAAGAGUUGAGGCAGAAGUGUUAAAAAGCUUAGAACGCUGGAUGGGGAAAAAAAAGAAAAAAAAGAAAGUGUGCAUGACAAGAAGAAAAAAAGCCCAAUCCCAACCCAAGCCUUGAAGUAUUUGUGAAUCAGGUGUUUAACUAGUGGACAAAAAAACUGCGAGCGCAAACAGUGGAGAUAUUAAGAACAGCCGUCCUGCAUAUUGCUUUAUUGACAUGCACAGAAGUAGUGGUGUACAGCUUGCUGUUCCUUUUCAAUAAACAGGAGGAGACUGAGAGUUCAGUGCUUGUUGCCUGAACUGCACAACCAGGCAGAGUAACCCAUGCUCUGAUGUCCCUAGACUCUGAAACUUACCUUGCAGCUAUAUGAAAAUCUUUCUGACUUGUGUCAGAUCUUGUGCAGGAGCCUUCCAGAAAUGCUGGGCUCACAAUCAAAGCUCUGGUCUUCCCCCUAGCACCAUGAGGAUGUGAAAACAGACCAGAAUUUCCUCAUGAUGCUGUAUUCAUAUUAAAGUAAGUAAAGUCAAAACAGUCAUAACCAAUUAUUCUACCACCUCUGACUUGCUGAUUCCUACAUGUUCACCCAACUCCUAGCACUACUAAAUUUUUGUGAACAUUUCUCAGCUCUGUUCCUCCUUUCUUUUCUGCUGUAUCUAUUUCUAUUUCUAUUUCUAUUUACUGACCACUCUCUUCCACUGCUUCAGUCAUCACCUGUUUAACCUGGAACUGUAGAUAUGAAGAUGACCAACUUUCAAAACCACUUCUUCACAAACAAACCCAUGAGGUUUCUGUUUAGGAGAAGCAGUUCACCUUUCACUCCUAAUGUCAGGAGAGGAGAAGCCUGGUGGAAGGAAAAACUCCAAGAGAAAGUAGCCAUGAGUUCAUAAUACCCAGACCUGAAAUAUCUUUGGAAAAUGCAAGAGGAGUGUGUUUACCAACAAAGGCAAAAAGGAAAAGGCAGAGAGGCAGUGGAGAACUUGUUGUCACCAACCAGCUCUUCAUUUUUUGUGGAGAAAGCUUCAAGUGUGAAGGAGCACUAACCCAGAAGAAAGAGCAAUCAAAUGUGCUAAAAAGCACUGCUUUCCACUUGCAAAAAGUCCUGUUUAGUACAUGUUUAUGAAACUCGUCUCAGAUGUUCUAAAAAUAGCCUUGCAGGAGCAAGUCAGCUCCCUCCAGGAAGCCCUACACGUUCCUAGCAUAGAAGCGCAGCUUAAUCCUGAUUUUCACAAAAAGAACAAUUAUUUUUAGUGCUUUUAAAAACAGACUUUAGUUGCCCGGUGCUGAUUUGUCAAAACAAAACAUGAAAGAUGUGUCACUUCACAGGAAUGUGGCACAAGUUGAUGGGUUCCGAAUGUCCAGAACGUCUGACAGUAAUGUGGUGGUUCAGAUGUGUCAGGAGGUGUUAAGAUAAAGAUUUCAGGCAAGGCUUGUGGGGCAACAAUAAGAUGAAAAAAAGGGUCUAAGGAGCAUCCUGACGGCGAUGAAGAGAGAGACAGAGGAAAGGGACGUCCUAGGGAGCAGUGUUGAAAGAACAUAAGAACAAGUAAGAACACAACCAAAGCAUAAUGACUUCUUCUGGCUGCGGUGCCAGAUAUCCUCAACAAGAGAAAUGUUGCACAGCUAGUUGGACAGUUAUAAGGAAUAUGAUUUGGUAUGGUUAUGUCAUUACAGAAGUCCAGUUAAACUUGGUCCUAGUG